AUCUAUUAGGUUGGUGCAAAAGUAAUUGCUGUUUUUGCUGUUGAAAGUAAUGGCAAAAACUGCAGUUGCGUUUGCACCAACCUAAUA
RNAcentral lists this microRNA precursor (87 nucleotides) under Saimiri boliviensis boliviensis (Bolivian squirrel monkey). RNAcentral describes it as "miRNA (ENSSBOG00000019813.1)". The record is from RNAcentral. Lineage: Eukaryota; Metazoa; Chordata; Mammalia; Primates; Cebidae.